Eriocheir sinensis (Chinese mitten crab) is the source of this 1697-nucleotide long non-coding RNA. RefSeq lists it as uncharacterized. Lineage: Eukaryota; Metazoa; Arthropoda; Malacostraca; Decapoda; Varunidae. The record is from RefSeq and is a predicted model, not a curated record. The transcript has 5 exons.
UUGUCAUUUCCUUCAAUACAACAGCAAUUCUUGCAACUAAUUCUUCUGUUACCACCGCAAGGGUCCUGAACGAGUCACACCUACAAGCUUUCCUUCUCCUAAGCUUUUUAACAACCUUCGGUGGCGUCACAGCAGCUUCCCGUGAAGGUAGUUUUUCUUCUUUCUCUGUUACUGUGAUUUCAUUCGUUUCAUUGGCUGGCAGAAUCUCCUUUGUUAUCUCUGUUCGUUCUGUUAUCAGAGGUCCAUCGCCAUUUUCGGUAACAUUCUUAGUCUCCACAGAAGCCUCCUUAAUGGUUUCCUGUGAAGGUAGUUUUUCUUCUUUUUCUGUUACUACAACUUCAUUCGUUUUAUUGCCGGGCAGGAUCUCCUUUGUUAUCUCUGUUCGUUCUGUUAUCAGAGGUCCAUCGACAUUUUCUGUAACAUUCUUAGUCUCCACAGAAGUCUCCUUAAUGGUUUCCUGUGAAGGUAGUUUUUCUUCUUUUUCUGUUACUACAACUUCAUUCGUUUUAUUGCCGGGCAGAAUCUCCUUUGUUAUCUCUGUUCGUUCUGUUAUCAGAGGUCCAUCGCCAUUUUCUGAAACAUUCUUAGUCUCGAGAGAAGUCUCCUUAAUGGUUUCCUGUGAAGGUAGUUUUUCUUCUUUUCCUGUUACUACAACUUCAUUCGUUUUAUUGCCGGGCAGAAUCUCCUUUGUUAUCUCUGUUCGUUCUGUUAUCAGAGGUCCAUCGCCAUUUUCUGUAACAUUCUUAGUCUCCACAGAAGUCUCCUUAAUGGUUUCCUGUGAAGGUAGUUUUUCUUCUUUCUCUGUUACUACAACUUCAUUCGUUUUAUUGCCGGGCAGAAUCUCCUUUGUUAUCUCUGUUCGUUCUGUUAUCAGAGGUCCAUCGACAUUUUCGGUAACAUUCUUAGUCUCGAGAGAAGUCUCCUUAAUGGUUUCCUGUGAAGGUAGUUUUUCUUCUUUUUCUGUUACUUCAACUUCAUUCGUUUUAUUGCCGGGCAGAAUCUCCUUUGUUAUCUCUGUUCGUUCUGUUAUCAGAGGUCCAUCGCCAUUUUCUGUAACAUUCUUAGUCUCCACAGAAGUCUCCUUAAUGGUUUCCUGUGAAGGUAGUUUUUCUUCUUUUUCUGUUACUACAACUUCAUUCGUUUUAUUGCCGGGCAGAAUCUCCUUUGUUAUCUCUGUUCGUUCUACUUUAUGAGGUCCAUCGCUCUUUUCUGUUGCGUUCCUCCCCUCCACAAAUGUCAUCGUAAUGCUUUUCUGUGAAGGUAGUCUUUCUUCUUUCUCUGUUACUAAAGUUUCAUUCGUUUUAUUGCCUGGCAGAAUCUCCUUUGUUAUCUCUGUUCGUUCUACUUCAUGAGAUCCAUCGCUCUUUUCUGUUGCGUUCCUCCCCUCCACAAAUGUCAUCGUAAUGCUGUUCUGUGAAGGUAGUCUUUCUUCUUUCUCUGUAACGAGAACUUCAUUCGUGUUAUUCCCUGGCAUAUUGGGUAAAUAGUUGAGUCCCCCCUCGUCAACUUUCUGGCAAGGGUUCAUAACGGCCAUCUCCACGGUACCGGAGGUCGCCUUGUCGUCCGGGUGCCCUGCGGAGUUCGCUCCGCCGGCCAGCGGCAGGCUGCUGCCGCCCAGAUUCCCCAGGCACAAGACGAGCGUGCACACUGCGAAGAGCGUCAUAAUUGUUGACUGUGAGGAUAUGAAAUUAAAAAGA